AGAGGGAGAGAAAAUCAGUAGAGGGGACGACAUAAAAGACCUGGAGGCGAAAACAGACUAAAAAACCCUAAUCCAAAAAGAGGCAAGCAACAGAAAGAGGUGGAGGCAAAAAUCUGAAAGAGAGAAAAACCUAAAACCCCAAAAUCGUACCUGGAGGCCAGUUUUCUUCGCAUCCAUCACCACCACCGCAGCGACGCCCUGUAAGAACCUUUCUUUCCUACUCUUUUUAUUUCUCUUCAUGCUUGUUGUUUGAUUGUUUUUUGUGAGAGCUGAGAGUGUUUGAAAGGGGUUUCGUUGAGAGCAAGAGUGAGAUUGAGUGAAAUGUGAAGUCUGGGGUGCGUGAGGUUGCCAUUGUUGGGGAAGUUUUGAGCUCGUAAGAUGCGAGAGAGAGGGAGGAAGACGAACUCCUCUGUAUUCUCUUCCCUGUUCCCAUUUCUUUUUCUGUUUUCUUUUUUUAUUAAUUUCUUUUUUUAUUUAUUUAACUUAAUUUGUUUUUUACAGAGAUAAUACAAAAACCAUAAGAAUGUUUGUUUUGCUUUUAUUUUAAAUCUUUAGCCCGGUUCAUGUACUUAGCGUAGUAUCUCAGUAGCAGUUGAUGUUGAGUGGCCUAGUGGAGAGAGGGUAGUUUCAUAAUAUUAAGUGGAGAGGGUUCAAUACUCAUGUGUGUCAUUUUUUGGCAUUUUAUUUCUUUUAGCUAUAUUGUUUUUUCUUUUAGCAUUUUAGUUUCUUUUUAUGUUUAUGCCUUUAUUACACUCAUAUGUUCAUUUUGUUAAUAAUGUAAAGUUGUUGUAUUUUAAUUUAAUUCAAAACCAUUUUAAAACUAUAAAAAUCAUACUUUUCUCGAUUUAAUAUCGAGCCCUUUUUUCACACCCUCGUAAGUCGAUUGCUUUUUAAGCAUCGCCGUCGACCUCACAUAGCUUACUCUUGGGCUUCCUUACAAUGAGACAUGUCCCUUGCACUUACACUCAUACAUUGUUUAAUGCUUCAUUAUUUCAUUCU
This 999-nucleotide long non-coding RNA is filed under the name Lathyrus oleraceus (garden pea). Its description in RNAcentral is "Pisum sativum (pea) long non-coding RNA (PSAT_LNC009229)". Lineage: Eukaryota; Viridiplantae; Streptophyta; Magnoliopsida; Fabales; Fabaceae. The record is from RNAcentral.